Molecule: ribosomal RNA, 683 nt
Filed under: Klebsiella pneumoniae
Lineage: Bacteria; Pseudomonadati; Pseudomonadota; Gammaproteobacteria; Enterobacterales; Enterobacteriaceae
Description: partial 23S ribosomal RNA
Rfam family: Bacterial large subunit ribosomal RNA
Source: RNAcentral
CGGACAGUGUCUGGUGGGUAGUUUGACUGGGGCGGUCUCCUCCCAAAGCGUAACGGAGGAGCACGAAGGUUAGCUAAUCCUGGUCGGACAUCAGGAGGUUAGUGCAAUGGCAUAAGCUAGCUUGACUGCGAGCGUGACGGCGCGAGCAGGUGCGAAAGCAGGUCAUAGUGAUCCGGUGGUUCUGAAUGGAAGGGCCAUCGCUCAACGGAUAAAAGGUACUCCGGGGAUAACAGGCUGAUACCGCCCAAGAGUUCAUAUCGACGGCGGUGUUUGGCACCUCGAUGUCGGCUCAUCACAUCCUGGGGCUGAAGUAGGUCCCAAGGGUAUGGCUGUUCGCCAUUUAAAGUGGUACGCGAGCUGGGUUUAGAACGUCGUGAGACAGUUCGGUCCCUAUCUGCCGUGGGCGCUGGAGAAUUGAGGGGGGCUGCUCCUAGUACGAGAGGACCGGAGUGGACGCAUCACUGGUGUUCGGGUUGUCAUGCCAAUGGCACUGCCCGGUAGCUAAAUGCGGAAGAGAUAAGUGCUGAAAGCAUCUAAGCACGAAACUUGCCCCGAGAUGAGUUCUCCCUGAGACUUUAAGUCUCCUGAAGGAACGUUGAAGACGACGACGUUGAUAGGCCGGGUGUGUAAGCGCAGCGAUGCGUUGAGCUAACCGGUACUAAUGAACCGUGAGGCUUAACCUU